Non-coding RNA from Monodelphis domestica (gray short-tailed opossum), 429 nucleotides. Lineage: Eukaryota; Metazoa; Chordata; Mammalia; Didelphimorphia; Didelphidae. The record is from RefSeq and is a predicted model, not a curated record.
AUGAUCCUCAACUUGUUGCCAUACGCUUGCUUUCUCAGGAUAUUUCUAUCGGAGCUUCGGAAAUCGUCCUGCAGCAGAAGGAAUUUUACAUACAUACCCAGGAAAAGUUAAUGCAUUGGUUGUCCUCCUUAUCUCAUGCGGUUCUCACAACCUCUUUGCAAGGCAGCAGGAACUACAGCACUCCCUAGCACACCUCAUUUGGAUCCUGUCUUCUAAUGCCUCGAAGGAGCAUGGGCACCAAACCUCCACCAGAGGAGAGGAAACCUGAUUCUUUGAAGCCUGGCUCUAACCUACCUGCAAGAAGAAAACGAACAAUAUUUAGUAAAGUACAACUCGAUACUUUGAUCGACUACUUUCAAAAGAACAACUACCCUGGGAUAAAAGAAAGAGAACAACUUUCCAAGAUGAUCAAUGUUCCCGAAGACAGAA